RNAcentral lists this long non-coding RNA (445 nucleotides) under Fukomys damarensis (Damara mole-rat). RNAcentral describes it as "lncRNA (ENSFDAG00000027547.1)". Lineage: Eukaryota; Metazoa; Chordata; Mammalia; Rodentia; Bathyergidae. The record is from RNAcentral.
AUGUGUGCGAAGUGGGAGACCGCCCUGGGGAUACUCCUUUCUGGUUUCCACAGGAAGCUACAGAAAUGCAAGUCGGAAGGGAUAGAAGGCUGGAGACUGUUCGGCAUGCAAAUACAAUUUUUAAAAAAUUCUCCAGGAGGUUUCAUGGACUCCACCCCCCUUGUUAGUUCAGUGCUGUAUUUCCAAAAUGUGCCUCAGUGACUUAACAACGCACAUUGUUGUCAAGUGUUGCUCUCACAUACUCCAAAUGCCACCCCAAAUUUCUUUGUUUAGAAUAUGUAAGUUCCGUAGGAAAACAUUGUACCUAGUUCCGGAAAUGCUAACUGCAUUCGCAAUGGCAAGAUAGAUAAAUUUUUCUAAAUUGCUUAAUUUUGUUUCUUAUAACCAACUGAAACCCCUAAUAGGUACCUCUAGAGAAAACAGAGACUCAUUCCUCUUAGCUGCA